This 253-nucleotide ribosomal RNA is filed under the name uncultured bacterium. RNAcentral describes it as "partial 16S ribosomal RNA". It matches the Rfam family "Bacterial small subunit ribosomal RNA", at positions 524 to 776 of the family's 1533-position model. The record is from RNAcentral.
AACGUAGGAGACGAACGUUAUCCGGAGUUACUGGGCGUAAAGGGCGUGCAGGCGGCUUGAUAAGUUCGGCGUGAAAUUUCCCGGCUUAACCGGGGGAUGUCGUCGGAGACUGUCGAGCUAGAGGGUGAUAGAGGCGUGUGGAAUUCCCGGUGUAGUGGUGGAAUGCGUAGAUAUCGGGAGGAACACCAGUGGCGAAGGCGGUUACCUGGAGCUUUGCUGACGCUGAUGCGCGAAAGCGUGGGGAGCGAUCCGG